Molecule: ribosomal RNA, 468 nt
Filed under: uncultured bacterium
Lineage: Bacteria
Description: partial 16S ribosomal RNA
Rfam family: Bacterial small subunit ribosomal RNA
Source: RNAcentral
GACGAACGCUGGCGGCGUGCUUAACACAUGCAAGUCGAACGGUGAUGCUCCAGCUUGCUGGAGUGGAUCAGUGGCGAACGGGUGAGUAACACGUGAGCAACCUGCCCCAGACUCUGGAAUAAGCGCUGGAAACGGCGUCUAAUACUGGAUACGAAACUGGCCCGCAUGGGCAUGGUUUGGAAAGUUUUUCGGUUUGGGAUGGGCUCGCGGCCUAUCAGCUUGUUGGUGAGGUAAUGGCUCACCAAGGCGACGACGGGUAGCCGGCCUGAGAGGGCGACCGGCCACACGGGGACGGAGACAGGGCCAGGACUCCUAGGGGGGGCGGCGGGGGGAAAUAUUGCACAGGGGGCGAACGCCGGAGGCAGCGGCGCCGGGGGGGGGAUAAGGGCUUUCGGGUUGUAACCCUCUUGCAGCGGGGAAAAAGCAAAAGGGAGGUUCCCUGAAAAAGAGGCCCGGGCUAACUACGUG